This 1352-nucleotide ribosomal RNA is filed under the name uncultured bacterium. RNAcentral's name for it is "16S ribosomal RNA". It matches the Rfam family "Bacterial small subunit ribosomal RNA", at positions 21 to 1394 of the family's 1533-position model. The record is from RNAcentral.
GGCUCAGGACGAACGCUGGCGGCGCGCCUAACACAUGCAAGUCGAACGAGAGAUGAGGAGCUUGCUCUUCAAAUCGAGUGGCGAACGGGUGAGUAACGCGUGAGGAACCUGCCUCAAAGAGGGGGACAACAGUUGGAAACGACUGCUAAUACCGCAUAAGCCCACGGCUCGGCAUCGAGCAGAGGGAAAAGGAGCAAUCCGCUUUGAGAUGGCCUCGCGUCCGAUUAGCUAGUUGGUGAGGUAACGGCCCACCAAGGCGACGAUCGGUAGCCGGACUGAGAGGUUGAACGGCCACAUUGGGACUGAGACACGGCCCAGACUCCUACGGGAGGCAGCAGUGGGGAAUAUUGCACAAUGGGGGAAACCCUGAUGCAGCGACGCCGCGUGGAGGAAGAAGGUCUUCGGAUUGUAAACUCCUGUUGUUGAGGAAGAUAAUGACGGUACUCAACAAGGAAGUGACGGCUAACUACGUGCCAGCAGCCGCGGUAAAACGUAGGUCACAAGCGUUGUCCGGAAUUACUGGGUGUAAAGGGAGCGCAGGCGGGAGAACAAGUUGGAAGUGAAAUCCAUGGGCUCAACCCAUGAACUGCUUUCAAAACUGUUUUUCUUGAGUAGUGCAGAGGUAGGCGGAAUUCCCGGUGUAGCGGUGGAAUGCGUAGAUAUCGGGAGGAACACCAGUGGCGAAGGCGGCCUACUGGGCACCAACUGACGCUGAGGCUCGAAAGUGUGGGUAGCAAACAGGAUUAGAUACCCUGGUAGUCCACACCGUAAACGAUGAUUACUAGGUGUUGGAGGAUUGACCCCUUCAGUGCCGCAGUUAACACAAUAAGUAAUCCACCUGGGGAGUACGACCGCAAGGUUGAAACUCAAAGGAAUUGACGGGGGCCCGCACAAGCAGUGGAGUAUGUGGUUUAAUUCGACGCAACGCGAAGAACCUUACCAAGUCUUGACAUCCUGCGACGCACAUAGAAAUAUGUGUUUCCUUCGGGACGCAGAGACAGGUGGUGCAUGGUUGUCGUCAGCUCGUGUCGUGAGAUGUUGGGUUAAGUCCCGCAACGAGCGCAACCCUUAUGGUCAGUUACUACGCAAGAGGACUCUGGCCAGACUGCCGUUGACAAAACGGAGGAAGGUGGGGAUGACGUCAAAUCAUCAUGCCCUUUAUGACUUGGGCUACACACGUACUACAAUGGCGUUAAACAAAGAGAAGCAAGACCGCGAGGUGGAGCAAAACUCAGAAACAACGUCCCAGUUCGGACUGCAGGCUGCAACUCGCCUGCACGAAGUCGGAAUUGCUAGUAAUCGUGGAUCAGCAUGCCACGGUGAAUACGUUCCCGGGCCUUGUACACACCGCC